UACAGAGGGUGCGAGCGUUGCUCGGAAUUACUGGGCGUAAGGGGUCGUAGGUGGUGCGGCAAGUUGGAAGUGAAAUCUCUGGGCUUAACCCAGAGGCUGCUUUCAAAACUGCCGUGCUCGAGUGCGAGAGAGGUCAGUGGAAUUGCAGGUGUAGCGGUGAAAUGCGUAGAUAUCUGCAGGAACACCCGUGGCGAAGGCGGCUGACUGGAUCGCAACUGACACUGAGGAACGAAAGCUAGGGGAGCAAACAGG
RNAcentral lists this ribosomal RNA (252 nucleotides) under uncultured bacterium. RNAcentral's name for it is "partial 16S ribosomal RNA". It matches the Rfam family "Bacterial small subunit ribosomal RNA", at positions 524 to 776 of the family's 1533-position model. The record is from RNAcentral.